This 422-nucleotide ribosomal RNA is filed under the name uncultured bacterium. RNAcentral's name for it is "partial 16S ribosomal RNA". It matches the Rfam family "Bacterial small subunit ribosomal RNA", at positions 359 to 773 of the family's 1533-position model. The record is from RNAcentral.
GAAUCUUCCACAAUGGACGAAAGUCUGAUGGAGCAAUGCCGCGUGAGUGAAGAAGGUUUUCGGAUCGUAAAGCUCUGUUGUAAGGGAAGAACAAGUACGGGAGUAACUGCCCGUACCUUGACGGUACCUUAUUAGAAAGCCACGGCUAACUACGUUCCAGCAGCCGCGGUAAUACGUAGGUGGCAAGCGUUGUCCGGAAUUAUGGGGCGUAAAGCGCGCGUAGGCGGCCCCUUAAGUCUGAUGUGAAAGCCCCCGGCUCAACCGGGGAAGGUCAUUGGAAACUGAGAGGCUUGAGUACAGAAGAGGAAAGCGGAAUUCCACGUGUAGCGGUGAAAUGCGUAGAGAUGUGGAGGAACACCAGUGGCGAAGGCGGCUUUCUGGUCUGUAACUGACGCUGAGGCGCGAAAGCGUGGGGAGCAAAC